RNAcentral lists this transfer RNA (87 nucleotides) under Coriobacteriales bacterium. RNAcentral describes it as "tRNA-Leu". It matches the Rfam family "tRNA". Rfam says of the family: Transfer RNA (tRNA) molecules are approximately 80 nucleotides in length. Their secondary structure includes four short double-helical elements and three loops (D, anti-codon, and T loops). Lineage: Bacteria; Bacillati; Actinomycetota; Coriobacteriia; Coriobacteriales. The record is from RNAcentral.
GCGGGCGUGGCGGAAUUGGCAGACGCGCUAGCUUCAGGUGCUAGUUCUCGUAUGGGAGUGAAGGUUCAAGUCCUUUCGCCCGCACCA